This 250-nucleotide ribosomal RNA is filed under the name uncultured bacterium. RNAcentral's name for it is "partial 16S ribosomal RNA". It matches the Rfam family "Bacterial small subunit ribosomal RNA", at positions 809 to 1058 of the family's 1533-position model. The record is from RNAcentral.
GUGGGUACUAGGUGUGGGGGACAUUCCACGUUCUCCGUGCCGUAGCUAACGCAUUAAGUACCCCGCCUGGGGAGUACGGCCGCAAGGCUAAAACUCAAAGGAAUUGACGGGGCCCCGCACAAGCGGCGGAGCAUGCGGAUUAAUUCGAUGCAACGCGAAGAACCUUACCUGGGUUUGACAUAUGCCGGGAGCGUUCAGAGAUGGGCGUGCCUUUUUGGUCGGUUUACAGGUGGUGCAUGGCUGUCGUCAG